This 570-nucleotide ribosomal RNA is filed under the name Triticum aestivum (bread wheat). RNAcentral describes it as "partial small subunit ribosomal RNA". Lineage: Eukaryota; Viridiplantae; Streptophyta; Magnoliopsida; Poales; Poaceae. The record is from RNAcentral.
AUGACCAGCAAAAGAGUGAGGAAAAAGUGCACUGCAAGCCCAGAUGAGACUAUAAAAGAAACAAGUUCACUGCACGCCACUCGUUCCCUUGUUCUUUAUCUCUGGUCUUUGUCAGUUGCGGUGUUGUUUCUGAGAAAUGCAGUGCGCCGGCGCCGGCUUGCAUUUCACUGUAGUUCGUUCGCCCCGCCUCGUAGUAGUCAAGAGAUGUAUAGAUCGCAGCUCUCUCGAAAACCUGCAUUGAAGCAAACAACAAAAAAACUUUUUUUAGGUGCAGCUCACUUGUUUCAUUGCCGCAGUGAUCUUCUCUCUCCCAAUGGUUCACUAUGUUGCCAAGUGCAAAAACAAAUUGGAAAAGUUUAUUUUUUUAGUGCAGCUCACUCUGUUGUUGUGUGCAGUAGAAAGAAAAUUGGAAAAAUAAAAAUUGAUGCGCUCACUCUGUUGUUGUGUGCAGUAGAAAGAAAAUUGGAAAAGUUUAUUUUUUUAGUGCAGCUCACUCUGUUGUUGUGUGCAGUAGAAAGAAAAUUGGAAAAAGAAAAAUUGAUGCGCUCACUCUAUUGUUGUGUGCAGUAG